UUUAGCUUUGGCCUUCUUUGAUCUUACUUGGCUUCCUUUUCUCUCCUUCUUUGACUAUGGUCAUCAUUGGAUUCCAUCGAUCGUUGCUACUUUUCCAGCAUCAUCCCCUCAUUGAUUAUAAAGUUUGUUUGGAUAGAAGGGAAAGAAUUUCUAAAAUCAUGUUUAUUUAGACUACAUAAAGGAAAGGAAAUGAUAGAAUUUAUAUUAUUUUACAAUAAUGCUCCUAACAUUCAAUUGUAGAGGUGUAUUGGGAACACAAUGAACAGCGGCAGCCCACUGUCCAACGGCGGCGAUGGUGACCCCGGUGAUGGUCGGUAUGGUCUGAAUGAGAAAAAUUACCAUCCAAGUCUUGAUCAGUGGCGGGAAGGGAGAGACAGACAGACUCGGCACCCAUCGUAGUCUUGACCAACGGCGGGGAGGGAGAGAAAGAGCCACGCAAGGUCAAGGGUAUACACGGCAAAAAUAAAUAGGUUUUUCCUUUCCUUCCCAAUCCCUCCAAUUUUGAAGGGAUUGGAUUUACAUUAGAACAUUCUUUCCAUUCCCUCCCUUUCUUUUCCUUACCUUUGCAACCAAACAAAUUUUUUACUUUUCUUUCCUUUCCCUUCUUUUUAAUUAAUCAACCAAACAAAUGAUUAAUUGUUCAAUCUUUUCCUUUCCCUCCAUCCAAACAAGAAGUUUAGUUCCCUUAUUUGCUUUUCCAAUGCCCCUACUACUUCUUUGGCAUUGUCUCCUACCAACCAGGACCCUCAACACAUAGGCUCUCUAAUUACCAGAAAAACUCAUGUCAUUUUAAAUCUUAAUAUUCGUUUCAAAAGAGCAUGCGACGUUUUAUGUCAGCCAACUAAGUCUCCCAACCUUAAAGGCCCUACAUGGCUAUGCUCUCUUAAUUGUGAUGAUCAAGUCUAAGCUGGUCAUACCACCUGCAAACUAGUUGAACUCUCUUUUGAUAUGAAAGGGAGUCCAACAACAAAACUUCAUUCUCGCCCCUACGACCAGCAGACCAGCAAAGCCCUCUUCAAGCACAUGAUUUACCAUUUUUGUUCUCCACAAAGACCAGCUCAAUCAGCCGUCUGGGAGGGUCUUCGAUCUGCCACAAUGGAGUCAAAAUUUUUGUGCAAAGCCACAAUUUGAUUGCAGUCGCAAUAGGAGAAGGCCACUGUUGUUUAUAAAAUACCUCAGUACAUGAAUUCCAAACUUCAUGUUUGGCAUCUCUAAGGCGUCUGACAACUCCUUGGUGUUUAGCUUGGUGCCUAAAGCACCAGAGUUUCCAAAUGACUAUAUUGAAUACUAGAUGCCAACAUUUCCAUAAUUCUUUGCAUCUCAUCUUCCUAUGGAACUACCAUGUCAGUUCAGCACAAACAUCUGAAGAGGGAGUCCUUGAGAUGUUAAACCAGCUAGUCACAAACUUCCAAAUAUUGGCAGAAAAAGGACAAGAAAACAAAUUGAGCAUACAAAUGGAGGCUAAGGCGAACCUCCGCAAUCUAGCAUCUAUCGGGAGCCUACCAAAGCUGCUGACAUUGGUGAAACGGUAGUCACUGAGAAUGGAGCCAGAGGUCCAAAUCAAUCUCCUCCAAUUCAGAACUGUACUUUCCUUUCUAAUGUAUCCCCAAAUUUGAUUUCUUGAUUUAAUAGCAAUGUGGCUUAGCUUCCAACAUAGAAGAUCUGCGCCAUGACUAAGCUCAAGAUCACAGCUUUCUUGAAUUAUUGGAACUGUUCCAUCUAGGAUUAGAUUUAUAUUAGAGAUUGGAGUAUGAACUGUCAUAUUAAGAUCUGCAUCAACAUAUGGAACAUCAUUGGCAUCGAUGCAUUGAAUUAAAGGUAAAUCCUUCCAAGGAUCUACCCAGAAUUUUGCUUUCCUACCAUUUCCAAUUUGCCAGUUAACUUUGUUACAUAUUCUUCUCAAUGCAGCCAUGAUGUCUUUCCAUAAUGGUGACCAUCUCUGGCCAUAGGAUUUAGUCCAGGCACUCCUUUUUGUUUAAGCACUUGGCCUUGCACAUGUUAUCCCAUAAAGAAUACUCAGUUAAUGCAACACAACCCAGGAAGACCAGACAUGAUACAUUUCGCUCAUAAAGGUUGACAUUACCUAUGCCUUCUCUAUUGAAUGGUUUCGAAAGGAUAGUCCAGGAGACCAAAUGAGGCAGCAAGUUGAUUCUGCAUCUCCCCAUAGAAAUGAGCACAUGACAUUUUCCAUCUUUUUAAUCACUGAAGUGGGGCAUUUUAGGACUAACAUCCAGGAAAGAGGGAGCAUAGAAGUAUUGACUUUAUGAGAUAAACUCUGCCUGUGUAGGACAAAAGUCGUCCUUUCCAGCUAGAGAGUUUAUUUUGAAACUCAAGGAUCGUUGGAUCCCAUACGCCAUUGCAUAAUCUGUCAGGCGAUAGGAGCAACCCCAAAUAUCUAGUUGGAAAUUGACCUUCAUUCCAUCCUCUUUGGAUUAGCAUAUCAAGUAUCCGCUGUCCUGAACCUGAUAUUAAAAGGAAUAGAGAUUUUUCAGCAUUGAUUUUCAUGCCUGACCCGACCUCAAAUUCUGAUAGAAGCUGGAACAAUUUCCAUAUUGAUUUCUUAUUGGAUCUUACGAAAAACAGGACAUCAUCCGCAUAAAACAAGGAGCUGACCUUGCCAACUGUCUUCCAAAAAGUAGAACUUCAAUUUUCUAUAUAUUAGCUACAAAUUGAAGACUUCUCGAGAAUAUUUCCAUAACCACCAAAAAUAAGCAGGCAGAUAAUGGAUCUCCCUGUCUUAGUCCCUGACUGCUGGUCAAAUAAUUUUCAUGCCUGCCAUUAAUGAUUAGUGCAUAUGCAGCAUUAGUGACACAUAUCAUAAUUCUUGAAAUCCAAUCAGGGUGAAAACAGAGAUGACCCAAGGCAGCUUCUAGAAAAGCCAGUUGACCCUGUCGUAUGCUUUAGACAGAUCAACUUUAAUGCAUACAAUUUCAGCCUUGCUGGUCCACAUUGAAUGUAGCAUUUCAUGAGCCAACAUGUAAUUCUGAUGCAUUAGUCCUAUUGACCAAAAAGACACCUUGAUUAUCAGCAAUGAAUCUGCAUAGAAUUGAUUUCAAAUGGAGAACCAUAAUACAAGUAAUAAACUUCAUUAUGCUAUUUUCAAGAGCAAUCGGCCAUAGAUUGGAAAUAUGCUUAGAACCACCUUUCUUUGGGAUUAGCACAAGAGAACUCCUGCCAAUUCUUUUGAAUAAUUUGCAUUUGUUAAAGAAAUCAUUAAUAGCAUUGCUGACCAAAUUACCUACUAACAAUGUUUCUGAAAAAUCCCAUUGGGAAAGCCAUCUGGCCCCAGCAAGCUUCCAGCUUUUGCUCUCAUAACAACACUGGCGAAAUUCCUCAUUAGAAACAGGUUUUAAAAGUUCCUGAUUCUCUUGUUGAAGAACUUUUGGUCCAGCAUGUAAUUCAGUUGGAAGAGCUCCUGUAGAAUCAUCCUUAUAAAAGAAGUGCUGAAAAUAUUCCCAACACCUAAUAUGGAUUUGAGCAGGAUAAGAAAUGGCGCCCUCAUUAGUAUCAAUUUCCAUAAUCUUCUUCAAAUCUCUUCCUUUAACCAUGUUAUGGAAAAACUUAGUGUUACCAUCACCUUCACUGAGCCACAUAGCCCUAGCUCUACGUAUAGAAAGAAAUGUCUUCCUCUUCAAGAGCUUCAACCAGUUUUUGACAGAUUUGAUUUUCUUCGCAGUAGGUUGUUUUAAAAUCAUUUUGUUGAUGAAGAUUUUCUAAUUGAAGCUGAAGUCGGUUAACUUUCAGCUCAACUUUCUCUAGCAUAUUUUUGCUCCAUUCCUUCAAUCUUUUUCUUACGCUUCCUAAUUUGGAGCAGAGUUGAACCAUUGGGCAGCCUUGGUCUUUCAAUAUCCAGAUUGUGGCAAUCAUUUGUCUGCAUUCGGGAUAUUUCUCCCAAUGUCUGGAGUAUCUAAAGAUCCCCUUUCCCACCAUAUAAGUUCUUUGAGAGGUGUGAGAAUAUACAAGUGCAGAGUGAUUAGAAGGUCUGAUUAACACUUUAAGGUGUGAAAGACCGCAAAAUUUUUCCAACCACUUUUGCAGAAACAUUGGUCGAUUUUGCUCAUUAUCAAAUCAACUCCUUUAAGAUGGUUCGACCAAGUAAUAGAGUUCUGUUCAUCAGCAAUUUCCUGCAGCCCAACAUAAUGAAUAAUGUAUUGAAUGCUAAGCAAGCUUGAAGGGUUGGGGCCCUCCCCAGUUUCUCAAAGUUUUGCCGAACAGAAUUAAGGUCCCCUAUUGUCAGAACUGGUUUAUCCUUCAGUGCUAAAGUAGCUCCCAACAUAACAAACUGAUCUCUUCUCAAUCUGAAAUCUGUAUGAAGGUAUGUUCCAACAACAUCAAAUUCAGCUUUUUGAUCAGCCAAAAAAAAACUACAAUCUAUCCAGUAAUUGUUAUAUCUACAACUUAUUAAAGUAAUUUCUUGCUUUUUCCAAGCAAGAACGAUCCAUGUCCAAUUUCUAUCUGCUUCCAGGUUAGAUUUAAUCUCAUAGCAAUUAAGUCUCCCACUGAAAAUCUUCAUACGAUCCUCACUCAGCAUGGUGUCUAGCAAGAAAAUAAUGUCAGGCAUCUGUUAACUUAUCAAGUUCAAACAGUCACGCUGGCCCGCUUGAUUGGCAAGUCCCCUAACAUUCCAGCUGCACACUUUCAUUUCAAAUUUGAAGAUACAGACUUUCCACUGGGUUCCAAACUGGCAGCCGAUGAAUUCUCCUUACCAUGAGCCUUUCCUAUACGAACUGCUUUUUCUUUUUUCUUUUGGACAAUCAAUAAUAUCAACAUUCUCUUUGAUUCCAGAUUGUGAACUAGAGGUGCCACCGUUUUUCUUUAUCAAGCUCACCUCUUUGUUCUUAAGUGUCCUUUUCCAACUGACAUUCGAAGGCUGGAAAUUCUUUUCUAGUAGUUGCUCUUUGUCUAGCACCAUCUCCAUGCUACCGUCUUCCCCAAGGCAUAGUAAUCAAGGCUAGAGGGAGCACCUUGAUCCAGUAACUCCAUCACUUGACCAAGAUUAGAAGGAGGAUGGUUGUCAAGAUCCUCUCCAGCACUAGAUAGGAUCCUUUUAGAAUCACCAGACUACACCUUCAGUAAUCUCCAUGUCCCGAUUGUGGCAGGAUCUUCUUGACCAUCAUGGUCUUCCAUUUCAAGAACCGAAAAUUGGUUUCCAUUAAGCAUUGGUUUAACAUUCUGAUUACUGUUGAUCUAGGUUUCCUUCGUGUGAUAUUAACUUGAGACCAGCCAUCAUUGGACAUAGGCUUAUCCUCUUUAGUGACUGGUACUUCCACCAUCGGACAAGCAUUCAUCCCAUGAGAGGUGAGACCACAGUUGUGAGAGAACUUGAUUUUGUGCCCAUAUUCCACAGUUUGUUCAAACACAUAAUCACCAUCCAUAAUGCACACCAAACUAUCUGGAACAAAAUCAAGGGGAACAGAAAUGAGAAGCCGUGCAUAU
This is a long non-coding RNA of Nymphaea colorata (pocket water lily), 5436 nucleotides long. RefSeq lists it as uncharacterized. NCBI's taxonomy places the organism in Eukaryota, Viridiplantae, Streptophyta, Magnoliopsida, Nymphaeales, Nymphaeaceae. The transcript has 4 exons. The record is from RefSeq and is a predicted model, not a curated record.